CCCGUUCGCUCUAUUUACAUGUCGUAACGACUCUCGGCAACGGAUAUCUAGGCUCUCGCAUCGAUGAAGAACGUAGCGAAAUGCGAUACUUGGUGUGAAUUGCAGAAUCCCGUGAACCAUCGAGUCUUUGAACGCAAGUUGCGCCCGAAGCCUUUAGGCCGA
RNAcentral lists this ribosomal RNA (162 nucleotides) under Australina flaccida. Its description in RNAcentral is "5.8S ribosomal RNA". The stretch from base 29 to 162 matches the Rfam family "5.8S ribosomal RNA", at positions 1 to 132 of the family's 154-position model. Rfam says of the family: 5.8S ribosomal RNA (5.8S rRNA) is a component of the large subunit of the eukaryotic ribosome. Lineage: Eukaryota; Viridiplantae; Streptophyta; Magnoliopsida; Rosales; Urticaceae. The record is from RNAcentral.